RNAcentral lists this ribosomal RNA (440 nucleotides) under uncultured bacterium. Its description in RNAcentral is "partial 16S ribosomal RNA". It matches the Rfam family "Bacterial small subunit ribosomal RNA", at positions 338 to 795 of the family's 1533-position model. The record is from RNAcentral.
CCUACGGGCGGCAGCAGUGGGGGAUAUUGCACAAUGGGGGGAACCCUGAUGCAGCGACGCCGCGUGGGUGAAGAAGCGCCUCGGCGCGUAAAGCCCUGUCAGCAGGGAAGAAAAUGACGGUACCUGAAGAAGAAGCCCCGGCUAACUACGUGCCAGCAGCCGCGGUCAUACGUAGGGGGGAGGCGUUAACCGGAUUUACGGGGGGUAAAGGGGGCGCAGACGGCGAUGCAAGCCAGGAGUGAAAGCCCCGGGCCCAACCCCGGGACUGCUCUUGGAACUGCGUGGCUGGAGUGCAGGAGGGGCAGGCGGAAUGCCUGGUGUAGCGGUGAAAUGCGUAGAUAUCAGGAGGAACACCGGUGGCGAAGGCGGCCUGCUGGACUGCAACUGACGUUGAGGCCCGAAAGCGUGGGGAGCAAACAGGAUUAGAUACCCUUGUAGUC